GCGGGAUAGCUCAGUUGGUAGAGCACAAGACUCUUAACUUCAGGGUCGUGGGUUCGAGCCAGACGUGGGGCA
Molecule: non-coding RNA, 72 nt
Organism: Podarcis lilfordi (Lilford's wall lizard)
Lineage: Eukaryota; Metazoa; Chordata; Lepidosauria; Squamata; Lacertidae
Source: the annotation of a GenBank genome assembly